RNAcentral lists this ribosomal RNA (858 nucleotides) under Arctoparmelia incurva. Its description in RNAcentral is "eukaryotic LSU rRNA". It matches the Rfam family "Eukaryotic large subunit ribosomal RNA", at positions 71 to 946 of the family's 3401-position model. Lineage: Eukaryota; Fungi; Ascomycota; Lecanoromycetes; Lecanorales; Parmeliaceae. The record is from RNAcentral.
GGGAUUGCCUCAGUAACGGCGAGUGAAGCGGCAACAGCUCAAAUUUGAAAUCUGGCCCUUUUAGGGUCCGAGUUGUAAUUUGUAGAGAGUGUUUCGGGCGAGACCACGGUUUAAGUCCAUUGGAACAUGGCGUCAUAGAGGGUGAGAAUCCCGUAUGUGACUGUGGAUCGAGCCCAUGUGAAGCCUCUUCGACGAGUCGAGUUGUUUGGGAAUGCAGCUCAAAACGGGUGGUAAAUUUCAUCUAAAGCUAAAUACUGGCUGGAGACCGAUAGCGCACAAGUAGAGUGAUCGAAAGAUGAAAAGCACUUUGGAAAGAGAGUCAAACAGUACGUGAAAUUGUUGAAAGGGAAGCGCUUGCAACCAGACCUGCCCGUAGGUGAUCAGCCGCUGUUUUCAGUGGUGCACUCGCUCUGCGAUCAGGCCAGCAUCGGUUCGGGCGGUCGGAUAAAGGCCUUGGGAAUGUAGCUUCCUUCGGGGAGUCUUAUAGCCCUCGGUGCAAUGCGGCCAGCCGGGAUCGAGGACCGCGCUUCGGCUAGGAUGCUGGCGUAAUGGUUGUAAGCGACCCGUCUUGAAACACGGACCAAGGAGUCUAACAUCUAUGCGAGUGUUUGGGUGUUAAACCCAUGCGCGGAAUGAAAGUGAACGGAGGUGAGAACCCUCAAGGGCGCAUCAUCGACCGAUCCAGAUGUCUUCGGAUGGAUUUGAGUAUGAGCAUAGCUGUUGGGACCCGAAAGAUGGUGAACUAUGCCUGAAUAGGGUGAAGCCAGAGGAAACUCUGGUGGAGGCUCGCAGCGGUUCUGACGUGCAAAUCGAUCGUCAAAUUUGGGUAUAGGGGCGAAAGACUAAUCGAACCAUUUC